GCACCGGUGGUGUACGGUACACACCCUGUACUCUUAAGAAGUCCAUAUCAUUGAUGGGGCGCCCGGGGUUCGACUCCCCGCCGGGGCA
Molecule: non-coding RNA, 88 nt
Organism: Mycena latifolia
Lineage: Eukaryota; Fungi; Basidiomycota; Agaricomycetes; Agaricales; Mycenaceae
Source: the annotation of a GenBank genome assembly